GUUUCCCCAUCUGCUCCAACACCAUGCAGUAUCAGACUUUUUGAUCUUGGUCAAUAAGGAUCGGUAUUUCUGUGUUCAGUCGGCAUUUCUCUAAUAUGCUUCUGAUUCUUGGAACCAGGCUCGGUGACCUCACGCGAGUGACUUCAUAUCCGGGACUUUCUGGGAAUUCUCAGCAGCACUUUUUCUAAAAUGAGUUAAACAUUUUCAUGAGCUUCUAAAAGGAUUGUGGACCCUAGGCAGUGUUGCCCCCUGUGCCGGAUGGGUGAGUUGGCCCUGGGUAAAAUCAGAGCGAUGUGACACAGCCUGGAAAGAACAUGAAAGGACCUAGAGGAUAGAAUUCUCCCCUCCUGGAGGAGGCCAUAAACACAGGAACAGCUGCACAGGAAGGGCCUUGAAUGACCUAAGAAGUGUGGAUUUUAAGGCGACAGAGGUGGUGAGAAACUGCUGCAAGGCUGGAUUGGAGGACUGAUGGUUUGGGGGUGGCACUGGUGGUGGGGAGAGAAAUGAGGAGGCUGUUGCUAUGGUAGUCACAUGUUGGAGCUCACAAAUCAAUGUGGAAAUGAAGCAGGGGGCAAGGGGAAGACAUACUUGGGAAGCCGAAGCCCACUGAUAUGAGGCAGUAAUGCAGAGAGAAGCCUGGGCUAUCUUCUCUGGCUUGGGUGAAUGGCAGAUGCUGCUACCCCUCUUGGAAAAUAGGAAGACGGGAGGAGAACGUGUAUGUGCACCAGGACUUUGGGAAGAUCAAAUGGAAGGUCUUUCACAAAUAACAAAGCAAGGAGACUUCGAGUAACUUCACAGGCUUGUGGGCAGCUUCAGGGCCACCUCUUGCCCAGACCCUGCAAGUUGGGACACUUUCCUGCUCACUAUGGCCUGGAGGACAAAACCACCUCACUUGGACAUUUCCAGAAUAAAGAAUGGGGAAAAGCAGACUAGGUUUUCAAUACCCUUUCAGUAGAAAACUGCCCCAUAAACUCAUUGGCUACCUACUUCUUAAUCCCCAAUAACUGUUUUUAUGUGCGCAUCCCCACCCCCAUAAUAGGCUUGACUCCCACCCUCCAAUACAAACACUGGGCUUUCUCCAGAGCAGAUCAGGCCAAAAGCAAGGGCUGGGACAGGAAAUACACUUACAGGGAGAAGAGCUGGGUCUGAAUGACUCCUUGAAAGAUAAUCCUUCAUGUAUUCACUCUAAAACACGAAUCUAGCACUUACUAUGUGUUCUGGUACCAUUCUAGCACUGGGGAUGCAAUAAAAAUCAAAUAAGACGUGGUUCUUCAUGGAGAUGCUACUUCAGUGGGGGGAAGACUGACUGUGGAGAUGUCACUUUCCAAAGAUGUAUGCAUGUUCUAGAAUUUUGCCUCUUCCCUACCAAAAGGUGAUGUCCAAUACCCCCUUCCUUUCAAUCUGGGCAGACUUGUGACUCACUUGUAACCAACGGCAUGUUGGUUACAGAUGUGAUUUUUCAUGACUUCUGAGACUAGAUCAUAAGAGGUGAUAUAGCUUCUGCCUUGUUAGAUGGGACAUGUCUUUGGAGCUACAACUUAGGAAGUUCGACAACCCAGAGAUUGCCAUGUUGUGAGGAAGCCCAGGCCACAUGGAAAGGCCACACAUGUGUGUUCUGGUUGACAUCCCUGCUGAUGUCCCAAACAUUGUGGCACAGAAACAAGCCAUGCCCACUGUGCUCUGUCCAAAUUCCUGUUUGGGGUGGUUUGCUAUGCAGAAAUACUAUCUAGAACACUAAGAAACAAGUGAAUAAGUGAGCAAGAUAAUUUCAUAUUGUGAGAGGGAAAUAUGGGAAAACAUAAAACAGCAUGAAAAUAAGGGCCUCUUUAGAUGGGGGAAGGGGGGAGGACUGAUCAGGAAAGGCCUUUCUGGAGAGACAUUGGAACUGAGACCUGAGUGAGAAGGAGCUCAACCGCUAACCCUCUGGGAGAAGAGACUUUCAGCCAGAGGGUUCAUCAAGUACAAAGGUCUGGAGGCAGAAAUCAGCUUGGUAUGUUCUGAGAAGAGCAAGAAAGACAGUGUGACUAGGGUGAUGUGGGUGAGGAGGAGAGUGGGGCCAACGAAGGUGGAGAAGAAGGCAGAGAGGCAAGUCAUUCUGGUCCUACAGGUCACUGAGAGGAGUUUGGAUUUAAGACUGAGUGAGCUGGGGAGCCGGUGGAGGGUAUUAUGCAGGAGUGACUGGAUCUGGUCAAUUCUUAGUAAGAGUUCUGGCUGCCUGGUGGAGGACAGAGCGUAAGGACACACAGGGCAAAGGGAGGAGGACCAUUGGGGAGGCUAUGGCAGUGCCUAAUCCCCCAGGGAAGGGAGGAUGGACGGUGGCCUGAGACAUGGUGAUGGCGGUGAAGAUGGGGACUGGUGGACAAAUUCCGGACACAGAGGCAAUGACAGAGAGCACCAGGGAGGGAGGAGGCGCCCAGUCCUGCAGGUCCCGGGCAGGAUCUAGACGUGGGUGAGGACAGGAACCCUGUAUCCGUCUGGAAUCCGAAGGGAGCCUCAGCGAGAGGGCUGGCCAGGACGGCGCGUCCUGGCGCCCGGCGUCUGCAGUGCAGAGCCAGUCCCUGGCUGCACGCCUGCCGGGCGUCUCCCAGCAACAGCCGCCGCCGCCCGAACGUUCUGAACUCGGCGGCCCCUUAGUCCUCAUCGUCACCUUGGCGACGGCCGGUGGGAACACGCCCUGCGGGCUCCGGGGGCGGGGUCUGGUCGCCACGCGCUCCGCCUCCCGCGGGGUGCGCCUUCAGCCCCGCCCGCCCCCGCCCCUCCUCGGCGGCACGCGUGGCCGCAGGUGUGCAGGGCACCGGGAGGGGCCUCGCCGAGAAGCCGCUUCUCUCCUCUGUGCACGCCGCCGCCGGCGCGCACCACCGGCCCAGUCACCUCUCCCCACUCUUCCCCCUAGGCCGCCACCUCCAACCAAUCGGACUGGCUCUUCUGUCAUUCGGGUCACCUCCGCUGAGAUGCCUUCCCUGACCACCCAAGUUGAAGGAACUGCUAACCUUUUCUCUUGGACUUUGUUUUUUAUUUCCUUCACAGUAUUUCUCCCCUCUAAAAUUAUCUUGUCUGCUUCUACCUAUAUUGCCUUCCCUCUUGAAACCUAAGUUCCAUAAACUGAGGCACAAAUUCUGCCUUGUUCAUCUCUGUUCUCAGCACUCUGAACAGAACCUGGCAUGAAUGAGGUGCUCAAUAAAAGUUACUUGGAUGAAUCGGCA
This 3203-nucleotide long non-coding RNA is filed under the name Homo sapiens (human). RNAcentral describes it as "HSALNT0311284". Lineage: Eukaryota; Metazoa; Chordata; Mammalia; Primates; Hominidae. The record is from RNAcentral.